CCAAGGAGCACACUGGGCAGGUGAAGUUUGUAUAGUGUGUGAACGAACAGAACGGUUUUAUGUCCAAGAGAAGCCUGAUCGGUUACAGCUCAGAAAGUGUGGACCAGUGAAGCCGGGACUCCCAAUGUAAAGGAUGUGAAGUAGAUACCGACACAAGUACUCAGUAGAUCCGACGGAGAGUUGCUGAUUAGUUCCCGAUGUUAGAAGAGUGUGGCUAAUGGUUGAGCAUGUGGCGGUAGAACGGGUGGAAGUCUACCCUUCCCUCUCUCUGACUGAAAAUCAGGACAAUUCAGUGUUUCGGUCCACCACCCAGUACCCAAACGCCCUGCAUAACACUGGAAACACAUGUCAUGUGACCGGACAUAUUACUGGGGCCUGUUUCACAAAGCGAUCGUAGCACUACGACUGUCGUAAGUGUAUGUCUAAGUAUUGGAGU
Molecule: long non-coding RNA, 436 nt
Organism: Haliotis rubra (blacklip abalone)
Lineage: Eukaryota; Metazoa; Mollusca; Gastropoda; Lepetellida; Haliotidae
Exons: 3
Source: RefSeq, a predicted model, not a curated record